This 488-nucleotide ribosomal RNA is filed under the name uncultured bacterium. RNAcentral describes it as "bacterial SSU rRNA". It matches the Rfam family "Bacterial small subunit ribosomal RNA", at positions 29 to 507 of the family's 1533-position model. The record is from RNAcentral.
AUGAACGCUAGCUACAGGCUUAACACAUGCAAGUCGAGGGGCAGCAUGGUCUUAGCUUGCUAAGGCCGAUGGCGACCGGCGCACGGGUGAGUAACACGUAUCCAACCUGCCGUCUACUCUUGGACAGCCUUCUGAAAGGAAGAUUAAUACAAGAUGGCAUCAUGAGUCCGCAUGUUCACAUGAUUAAAGAUUUAUCGGUGUACGAUGGGGAUGCGUUCCAUUAGGUAGUAGGCGGGGUAACGGCCCACCUAGCCUACGAUGGAUAGGGGUUCUGAGAGGAAGGUCCCCCACAUUGGAACUGAGACACGGUCCAAACUCCUACGGGAGGCAGCAGUGAGGAAUAUUGGUCAAUGGACGAGAGUCUGAACCAGCCAAGUAGCGUGAAGGAUGAAGGUCCUACGGAUUGUAAACUUCUUUAUAAGGGAAUAAAACCUCCCACGUGUGGGAGCUUGUAUGUACCUUAUGAAUAAGCAUCGGCUAACUCCGUG